Oncorhynchus mykiss (rainbow trout) is the source of this 916-nucleotide long non-coding RNA. RefSeq lists it as uncharacterized. The record is from RefSeq and is a predicted model, not a curated record. NCBI's taxonomy places the organism in Eukaryota, Metazoa, Chordata, Actinopteri, Salmoniformes, Salmonidae.
GACAAUAGAGAAUUCAUUGUAAGCACCAAUGUGUUUUGUCAAAAUAUGAUCUGAAAAUGUCAGUUGUUACGGAUACAAGUAUUCUGUGUGUAUCCUGGGUGUAUUUAUUUUCUCUCCCCCUACUCACAGAUGGCAAUCAUUCCCCAAUCAGUCGCUAAUCAGAAGACACCUGCUCCUUUUCUCCUACCCAAUCACAGUUCCCUUCCCUUGGUUUAAAAACCCUGUCAGUUGUUCUCUCUGGAGCAAUCUCUGUAAAUGCCAUAUGUUUGUAGAUCUAGUGUGGUUUAGGAUACAUGUCACUUUGUCCCCACGUGGUGCGACUACUUCCCGGAGGAGAACAAGAGACAAGACGACUGGAUACCGGACCCCUUUAGAGUGGAGAUGGGACGCGUCACGUUGCCAAGCAACAAAGACAAUCUGAUGGUGGAGCUGUCAUUUGAUCGCGGACUGAGCAUGCACUUCCCUGAAAUGACACCACCAAAGUUCUGGUGCAGCGUAAUGGGAUAGUAUCCUGUUCUCGCCUGUCAUGAAAUCAGAAUCAUGCUACCGUUCAGCACUACCUAUCUGUGUUAAAGUGGCUGAAAACUAAAGUUAUGAUUCACUAUUUUAAUUAUUAUUGUUAAUUCAUUCUGACAUGCAUAUGACAUUUUAUUGAACUGGUUAAAAACUUACACCUUUAAAAAAAAAAUGUAAGGUUGUGAAACUAUUGACAUUGUAAUUGAUGAUUAAGAAUUUCUGCUGAUUGCUGUUUUUUCUAUUUUUAAACACUGGUAUGUGUUACUGUUCAUUAACAUUAUUGGACUGGUUUUGAUGUCAUGUUCUGAGUCUGAUCAUUCCUUACACCCACUCCUGAACUGGUCACCUAAUUAAAUGGCCUAUUCUCUUCAACUGAUAAUAAAAGUUUGCUCAGUUAAUA